RNAcentral lists this ribosomal RNA (254 nucleotides) under uncultured prokaryote. RNAcentral's name for it is "partial 16S ribosomal RNA". It matches the Rfam family "Bacterial small subunit ribosomal RNA", at positions 525 to 777 of the family's 1533-position model. The record is from RNAcentral.
ACGGAGGGGGCUAGCGUUGUUCGGAAUUACUGGGCGUAAAGGGCGCGCAGGCGGCUGCUCAAGUCAGGCGUGAAAGGCCUGGGCUCAACCCGGGAAUUGCGCUUGAGACUGGGCUGGCUUGAGUGCGGGAGAGGAUGGUGGAAUUCCCAGUGUAGAGGUGAAAUUCGUAGAUAUUGGGAAGAACACCGGUGGCGAAGGCGGCCAUCUGGACCGCAACUGACGCUGAGGCGCGAAAGCGUGGGGAGCAAACAGGA